AGAGGAAGGCUGUGGAAUGUUCCAGCUGACAGCUACGGGAAAAACAAGUCAUCCAUCAGCCAAAAAGGGGGAGAUGUCAGGUCAAGCUGACCGGGACAAAAGUCAGCUGCGAGGAGGAACACAGCCCCCCUUCCAUUGCUUGUGUUGUAGUAUACAAAUUGUGGGGCCACUAGGGAAAGAUGCACCAUUUUCUCUCUGCCUGCAAAGCAUACGCUUUAGGCAGGAGGAAAACGCCCAGAAUUCUGUCAACUUAAUUUGUUGAAUAUUUGAGAAACAUAAACGGAUAAAAAUGGCAACCUGUGUGAGUCAUUGGAGUAAACUCUUUUCCGGAGAGAAAACGAACAAAUUGGUGAGUGUGGUGGUAGUUUAUUAAUUUGUAAUCUGGGGCCUUGGGCCAUGCGCAGGAUAUAACAAUCACCACCACUCCAACAAUUGGUGACCCUGACGUGAUCUCGGAAAGAUUGUUUCUUGGAACCUCCGUGGCUACACCUUUCAUUCCAAAAUAUCCAGGCCGGCCGUCCAAAAAAGGUGCUGGGGCCUAAAAGAGAGGAAAUUCUCAGUUCUUUAAAAAAGGGUGCCUGGUGCAGCAAGAGUCCAUGACUGCCGCUCCACCUGCUCCGGGUCGGACUCCCUGUGAAGCGCAGCUGUACCAAUUGGAACCACCACGCCAGACCAGCCAGCAGGAGCGUGGACAUGGAGUGAGAGGAGCAGGGUGAGUGGUACGAGAUGGAGACGACAGCUGUGCCACACAUCACAUUGGUUGUCGGAGGGAUUCGGAGAGGGACCUUCAGGCAUCUGAUGCAGUGGUGCAGCAAGAGGACAGUGGUCAAGUCGAGGUGAAGGACACAGAGUAGAUGGAAGGGAAGCAAUCGGCGGAACUGGCAGAAUUGAGAGCGGUGUUCGGCUCCGGGUCCUGGUGGAGGAAGCUCAUGGAGCGCCGCAUGUGGAUGAGGUGGUUAUGUUGGCUGUUGAGUGUUAAGCGGCUGGGAUGAGAAUCAGCACCUCCAAAUAUGAGACCAUGGUCCUCAGUCGGAAAAGGGUGGAGUGCCCUCUCUGUGUCGUGAAGUGGGCUUCCCUGCUGAGGCUGCUGCCCCCACCACCCGACCUCGGAUAAGCGGAGGAAAAUAUAUUUAGGCUGGCGACCAAUUCAGGCAGUACCCCGCCUCCCGCCCAAAGAUAGCUGGGAUAGGCUCCAGCAUGCCGGAAACCCUCGUGGGGAUAAGCGGCUUCCCCAGGUGAGCCGCAUAGAAGUCGUCCAAAAGGUGAUCGAGAAUGAGCUUCCGGGAAAUCCAAGACCAUUCCUCUGGCCCAUACCCUUCCCAGUCGACCAGGUACUGGAACCCACAUCAUGCCUGCCACGAAGCCAGUCGCCUGUUCUGUCCAUUGUCUGCCACCUGUCCAUGCCGCCACCUGUCAACACAUCCAGGACCACCUCCAUAACCUUUCCUCAAUAAACUGUUCAUCAUUUUACAUCUGCCUCCGCCUGCUCUUGGGUCCAGCUAUUCCCCACACGUGACAGAAUACUUGGGCCACUAUGGACACAGCAACUCCGGAGGCACUGAAGAACGCACUAACCCUCCAAGGCGCCCACAUUGGACGACAGGACAAAAUACUGCAUGAAAUCACCUAAAUGCUCCACUCCCUUUCGCAACAGGUCUCCCUCCUUUCCCAACAGAUGCAAUCCAUUCAACCCCCUGUAAGUACUCCUCCCGAGCCCACAGCCUCCGAGCCACCCCGCUUCCCGUACAAAGAACCUCAUUUCCCUCCGCCCGAGCCCUACUUCUGGGACCUAGGUGCGUGUACCCAGUUCCUAUUUAAUCGCUCACUCGUAUUCAAUCUCCAACCAUACAGUUAUCCCACCGAACGAUCAAAGGUAGCAUAUGUCACUAACCUCCUCUGGGGCAAAGCAGCAAAGUGGUCCACGUUCUUAUGGCAAAACUCCUCUCUGGUACUUCAUUCAUUCGAUUAUUUUUCCACCAAACUCCGCAAAGUAUUUGAUCACCCAGUUCAACAAAGAAGGCACCCAUCGCCUCCUCACGCUCACGCAAAAUGCCCUCCCGGCUCCAAUCAUGGAAAUGCAGGGCAGUAUAUGACACUCUGUCGAAUUCAUUAAACAUUACUGGCCAAUACUUGCACCUCUAUUUUUUAGAACAGUCAAGUUGAUAAAAGAUAAAGGUCAAAUAAGUAGCCAUAUGAACACAGCUUCAAUUAAAUUAUGACUAAAUUCAGGUAAAGACCCCACUCUCCCGGCUAAUUAUCGGCCCUUAUCACUGAUUAAUGUAGAUAUCAAGAUUAUCUCGAAAGCCCUCGCAGCGAGACUUGAAAAGGUUCUCCUGUCGAUAAUCCACUAUGACCGGACAGGCUUCAUUAAAGGUAGAAGUUCCACAAAUAAUGUCAGACGUCUGUUAAAUUUAAUAAUCAUGUCACAGCGUAAACAUCUAAAUGCAAUCAUGUCACUUGACGCAGAGAAAGCUUUCAAUAAAGUUAACUGCGCUUUCCUGUUUGCAGUUCUUCACAAAUUUGGCUUUGUAGACUCAUUUAUACAUUGGAUAGCAACAUUAUAACUCGCCGAAAGCGACAGUCACCACAAAUAGGAUUACUUCACAAAGUUUUACUUUACAAAGAGGAACCAGAUAAGGAUGUCCACUCUCACCAAUGCUAUUUGCAAUAUUCGUCAAACCUCUUGCUACUGCUAUACGUCAGAAUGCUAAUAUUAAAGGUAUUUGCUCUCUAGUGACAUAACACAAAAUCAAUCUGUAUGCUGAUGAUAUUC
Phyllopteryx taeniolatus (common seadragon) is the source of this 2773-nucleotide long non-coding RNA. RefSeq lists it as uncharacterized. The transcript is spliced from 8 exons. The record is from RefSeq and is a predicted model, not a curated record. NCBI's taxonomy places the organism in Eukaryota, Metazoa, Chordata, Actinopteri, Syngnathiformes, Syngnathidae.